Molecule: unclassified non-coding RNA, 3977 nt
Filed under: Hevea brasiliensis (rubber tree)
Lineage: Eukaryota; Viridiplantae; Streptophyta; Magnoliopsida; Malpighiales; Euphorbiaceae
Source: RNAcentral
UCACCGCCGUUCCCAGUAAACUUUGCCGUAAAACGACGUCGUUUCAGACUAAAAAUCAAAGCAGUAGAUUUUCUCGAAAGCUUACGCCAAUGUUGCCUGGCGGCGCUUUACAAGAUAUUUCUCUCAUCUGUGCUGUGUUUUGUGUUCUGAAGUUCUGGAUAAUAUCUCUGUUUUUCUUUCAUUUCUAUCUACAAAAUUUCUCCACCCUCACACAAUAAUGAUAAAAUCUUAACAUAUACUCUCUUAAAUUCAUCUCUAGAUGUCUCUGACCCCUCUAGCAAUUUUCCAUUUUGACCAUUUUUUGAGCCCUUAAUUUUCCAUUUUUCUGAGCUUCACUACCUCACUCUCUGUUUCUGUUACUUUCCCGCUAUAAUUUCGACACCAUGGCUGCGCUUCUCAGAUCGAGAACUUCCAAGGAAACGGCCUCUUUUACAGCCUAUCAAUUCAGAAGUUUCUUAUUCAAUUACAUGUAUGCGGGUGGCAUGUCUAGCUCUUACUGCACGCAACCUAGAAAAUGGGAUGACCACUUCUCCAACUCUCCCUAUCACUCCACUUCUUUCAAGCCCGUCUCUCUGCGCGGUGAAUUCGAUGAGAAGGUUACUCAAUUAUUGGAUAAUAGGAGGAGUAAACGUGAUUCAAGUAAGGAUUUUGGGAGAAAUUGGGGCGAGAAAUUGAAUGGUAGGGAUAGUGGGUCCAAUUAUAGGGAUCCACCAGAGGUGUGGCAGCCUCCGGGAGAUGGGAUUGCAACAGUUGGGGUAAACGAAGCCGCAGUGAAUGUAGUUCGUGGAGGUAGAGGUGAUUCUGGGUCGAAUUCGAAAGAUGGGUGCUGGGGUGGAUCCAAUUUGGGUAAUAAUUUUCCAACACCAAAAGAGAUCUGUAAGGGACUGGAUAAAUUUGUGAUUGGACAAGAACGAGCUAAAAAGGUUCUUUCUGUUGCAGUUUACAAUCACUAUAAGAGAAUCUAUCAUGAUUCCAUUCAAAAGUGGUCUGCUGGAGAUUCAGGGAACAGCAAAGCGGAUGCUGUGGAUGAUGAUGGAGUGGAACUUGAGAAAAGUAACAUUCUUCUAAUGGGACCAACAGGCUCAGGACAGGGAAGACAUUACUUGCCAAAACCUUGGCGCGGUUUGUUAAUGUUCCUUUUGUUAUUGCAGAUGCAACUACAUUGACCCAGGCAGGAUAUGUGGGGGAAGAUGUGGAGUCCAUAUUGGGCAAGCUACUAAUGGCUGCUGACUAUAAUGUGGCAGCUGCCCAGCAGGGCAUUGUAUACAUCGAUGAAGUUGACAAGAUCACAAAAAAGGCUGAGAGUGUUAACAUUAGCAGAGAUGUGUCAGGUGAGGGUGUUCAGCAGGCAUUAUUAAAAAUGCUCGAGGGAACGGUGUGUAUUUGUUUUGCAUAAACUGUAGGAACAAUUUCAUUUAAUAAUCGUGUAUCACUCCAUUGGCACAUGAUGUUAUUAUGAUGCAAUAGAAAAAGCCAGAUGACCUAUUUGUUUUAUAUGUUUAUGAGUUUAGCAGAUUAGACAAAAUUUCAACCCAGUCAUAGAUGGAAAAAUUAGCUUAUUGAAUUAUGGCUUUUUUCUAAUCUGGGUGAGUUUAUGGAUUCAUAUAUUUACACUCAUGAUCAAUUGCUUGAUUUAGGUUGUCAAUGUUCCUGAAAAGGGAGCUCGAAAGCAUCCAAGAGGUGAUAAUAUUCAGAUUGAUACGAAGGAUAUACUCUUCAUAUGUGGAGGUGCAUUCAUUGACUUGGACAAAACCAUUUCUGAAAGGCGCCAAGAUUCUUCCAUUGGGUUUGGUGCGCCUGUACGUGCAAACAUGAGGGUUGGUAAUGUUACUAGUGCUGCUGUGACAUCAUCUUUAUUGGAGACUGUAAGUUCACAACAGUCUUCGAUCAACAAGUAACAGCUGAUAGCUUUUUUUCCUUUUUAAUGUUUUCUUUUUCUUCCCUUCUGUUUAGCUUUAUGUUGUUCAUAUACUGUACGAAUUCUUAUCUUUGGCAGGUUGAAAGCAGUGAUCUUAUAUCAUUCGGUUUAAUACCUGAAUUUGUUGGAAGAUUUCCUGUCCUUGUGAGUUUGUCAGCUCUUACUGAGAAUCAACUUGUACAGGUAAUAUAUUGAAAUGAUUUUCUUCUUGUAGGUAUAAUAUAUGCAUUUUUUUGUUUUGAUGCUUCUAUAUCCUAGAUGAAAUCAUGGAGAAAGUUGAAAUUAAUUAAUAAUUAGUAAAUAGACAUCAUGAUAAGAAAGAGUCCAAUGCUUAUAUUGCACCUAUGGUCUUAUGUUAUCCAAUAUUCGUAAUGGAAUGGAUACUAGUUUAUAUAGAGCAAUGGUACGAAUGUUCAAAAUUUUCUGUUACCAUGGAAUUAUUUUUCAUGGAAAUCUUGUAACUGAUGCACUUGGCACUAUUUGUUUAUACUCCUGAAAAAUUACUCGAGUCUUUAAAAGUCUAAGCAAUAUCACUGUUUAUUUGGUGUGAUUGAUGGCUAAUGAUGUUUUGAAGGUUCUGUCAGAGCCAAAAAAUGCCCUUGGGAAGCAAUAUAAGAAGAUGUUUCAAAUGAAUGGUGUUAAGUUACAGUUCACAGAAAAUGCUUGCAGACUAAUUGCUAAAAAAGCAAUAAUGAAAAAUACUGGGGCUCGAGGGUUGCGGUCCAUACUAGAAACUAUCUUGAUUGAUGCUAUGUAUGAGGUAUUUUACUUCUUGCCUGUUUUCAGAAUAUUCCUAAUUCUGUGCAAAGACUUGCCUGUAGGAUUACAACUACAUGGCUAUUGUUGAAGGAUGAGGUGGUUAGGCAAAUGACACAAAACGAACACUACAUGUCUCUAUGGGAUAUUUGAGCCGCAACACAAAAUUAAUACUGCAUGUCUAUGUGGAUCAUUUUGAGCCAUAAUAUGCUAAGAAGAUAUGGACCUGUAUUUGUAGAAAGAGAUGGGUUUUCAGCUAAAAAUUCUUGGAAACCUGGAUCUCUUAGUUUGUUACAUUUUCCAGCUGUCUAGGAUCCUGUUAUAUGCCAAUUUCUUUAGUAGCAUAUAAUCCUAAGGAAGUUGCAGAUUAAAACUUAAAUCUUGGCAUUUGUUUUGGGGGAGGUGGGAGGGUUGAAUGUCCAUCAGAUGGAGUGGACUGAUGGUGACUCUCAUGGGGACCAAAAACGAGAAGAAUCCUGAUAUAUAUGAAUAGGUCGACUCCCAGGCCCAGCAUUUUGUGGACAGUGUACAUGCUAUUUUAGCUCUGAACCAUUGGGAAUUGCUUUUUUAUUUAGUUGGGUUAUCUCACUUUUGACCUGGGAAUUGUGCAUUUUUUUUUUUCUUCAAUAUCUUUCCUCUAAUUCUUUUCCCAGAACCCUGUAAAUUUCAUUCUCUGCUAACCUAAGCAGAAGUCUCGGGUUCUUUUUUGUUUUCAGCUUGGUCAUGAUUUUUACCAGUAACGGGUGCAUCUUUUACUUGAUAAUCUCACAUUUUUAUUGCUCAUUUUAUAUUUAAAAAUGAUACCGGGAUCACCAUUUUCUGAUAAUAUAGCUUCUUAUCUUUUAAUUUUUGUGUAGAUUCCUGAUGUUAGAACAGGUGAAGAUAUUAUAGAUGCUGUUGUAGUUGAUGAAGAGUCAGUAGGUUCGGAGGGACCUGGAACUGGAGCCAAGAUCCUCUAUGGAAAGGGUGCAUUGGAUCGUUAUCUUUCCAAACACAAAUCAGAGACGACUGUGGACGGUUUUGAUGGAGAACCAGAGGCUGAAACUGAGCUUUCUUCCAUAGUUGCUAGCAUGUAAUCUGUUAAUCUUAUUUGUAGCUUUAUCCAUGUACAUAAUAACUUCACAUUAAUUAAAUAAAUUUAAAGAUGCAAUUACGAUACACAUUGUUGAUUCCUCGGAACUGUGCAGCACUUGAUUCAUUUGAGCCCCAGUUGGGGCCACAUAUUGUAAUUGUACAUGUAUUAAAUUUGGCAGCCCGAUUGAUGAGCUUACUGUUGUUUAGCAUCCCUUGUUUUCAUUAUUUU